This 253-nucleotide ribosomal RNA is filed under the name uncultured bacterium. Its description in RNAcentral is "partial 16S ribosomal RNA". It matches the Rfam family "Bacterial small subunit ribosomal RNA", at positions 524 to 776 of the family's 1533-position model. The record is from RNAcentral.
UACGUAGGGUGCGAGCGUUAAUCGGAAUUACUGGGCGUAAAGCGUGCGCAGGCGGUUUUGUAAGCCAGAUGUGAAAUCCCCGGGCUUAACCUGGGAAUGGCAUUUGGGACUGCAAGGCUGGAGUGCGGCAGAGGAGACUGGAAUUCCUGGUGUAGCAGUGAAAUGCGUAGAUAUCAGGAGGAACACCGGUGGCGAAGGCGGGUCUCUGGGCAACUACUGACGCUGAGGAGCGAAAGCGUGGGGAGCGAACAGG